GCGGGUGUAACUCAGCGGUAGAGUGUCACCUUGCCAAGGUGAAAGUCGCGAGUCCGAAUCUCGUCACCCGCUCCA
RNAcentral lists this transfer RNA (75 nucleotides) under Candidatus Desulfosporosinus infrequens. RNAcentral's name for it is "tRNA-Gly". It matches the Rfam family "tRNA". From Rfam's summary of the family: Transfer RNA (tRNA) molecules are approximately 80 nucleotides in length. Their secondary structure includes four short double-helical elements and three loops (D, anti-codon, and T loops). The record is from RNAcentral. Lineage: Bacteria; Bacillati; Bacillota; Clostridia; Eubacteriales; Desulfitobacteriaceae.